RNAcentral lists this ribosomal RNA (548 nucleotides) under Syconycteris sp. Its description in RNAcentral is "partial 16S ribosomal RNA". It matches the Rfam family "Bacterial large subunit ribosomal RNA", at positions 1816 to 2597 of the family's 2925-position model. The record is from RNAcentral. Lineage: Eukaryota; Metazoa; Chordata; Mammalia; Chiroptera; Pteropodidae.
CACUUCUAGCAUAACAACUAUUAGAGGCACUGCCUGCCCGGUGACAUUUGUUUAACGGCCGCGGUAUCCUGACCGUGCAAAGGUAGCAUAAUCAUUUGUUCUCUAAAUAAGGACUUGUAUGAAUGGCCACCACGAGGGUUUUACUGUCUCUUACUCACAAUCAGUGAAAUUGACCUCCCCGUGAAGAGGCGGGGAUCCACCAAUAAGACGAGAAGACCCUAUGGAGCUUUAAUUAAUUAGUUCACAGACAAACAAACACACCUCCAAGGAGGACAAGCCUACCUCUGAUGGACUAACAAUUUAGGUUGGGGUGACCUCGGAAUAUAAAAUAACUUCCGAGUGAUAAAAAUUAAGACCUACAAGUCGAAACAUCCUAUCACUUAUUGAUCCAAUAAAUUGAUCAACGGAACAAGUUACCCUAGGGAUAACAGCGCAAUCCUAUUUGAGAGUCCAUAUCGAUAAUAGGGUUUACGACCUCGAUGUUGGAUCAGGACAUCCCAAUGGUGCAGCCGCUAUUAAAGGUUCGUUUGUUCAACGAUUAAAGUCCU